Molecule: ribosomal RNA, 463 nt
Filed under: uncultured bacterium
Lineage: Bacteria
Description: bacterial SSU rRNA
Rfam family: Bacterial small subunit ribosomal RNA
Source: RNAcentral
AUUGAACGCUGGCGGCGCGCUUAACACAUGCAAGUCGUGCGGUACCGAUGGCAAGUCUUCUUGACGAGCCUUCGGUAUAGCGGCGGACGGGUGAGUAACACGUGAGUAGCUGUCCUAGGGAGGGGGAUAACGCCUGGAAACGGGUGCUAAAACCCCAUAAGCCUCGAAAGAGGUAAAAGUGCAUCACUGCAGUCCUAGGGUGUGCUCGCGGCCUAUCAGCUAGUUGGUGAGGUAAGGGCUCACCAAGGCCAAGACGGGUAGCCGGCCUGAGAGGGUGUACGGCCACACUGGAAUUGAGAUACGGCCCAGACUCCUACGGGAGGCAGCAGUUGGGAAUCUUAGGCAAUGGACGAAAGUCUGACCUAGCGACGCCGCGUGAGGGAAGAAGGCCUUCGGUUGUAACCUCUGUCAUGGGGAAGAAGUAAGUGACGGUACCCAAGAGGAAGCCCCUGCUAACUACGUG